GUUGGUGAUUAUAGAGAAGUGGAAAUACCCGGCUCCAUUCCGAACCCGGAAGUCAAGCACUUCAUCGCUGAUAAUACUGCAGGGUCCCCUUGUGGAAACGUAAGUCGUCGCCAACU
Ribosomal RNA from Arcobacter nitrofigilis DSM 7299, 116 nucleotides. The record is from Rfam. Lineage: Bacteria; Pseudomonadati; Campylobacterota; Epsilonproteobacteria; Campylobacterales; Arcobacteraceae.